Molecule: ribosomal RNA, 469 nt
Filed under: uncultured bacterium
Lineage: Bacteria
Description: partial 16S ribosomal RNA
Rfam family: Bacterial small subunit ribosomal RNA
Source: RNAcentral
GACGAACGCUGGCGGCGUGCUUAACACAUGCAAGUCGAACGGAAAGGCCCUGCUUGCAGGGUGCUCGAGUGGCGAACGGGUGAGUAACACGUGGGUGAUCUGCCCCUUAUUUUGGGAUAAGCCUGGGAAACUGGGUCUAAUACUGGAUAGGACCAUGCUGUAGGUGGUGUGGUGGAAGGAUUAGUUUCGGUAAGGGAUGAGCUCGCGGCCUAUCAGCUUGUUGGUGGGGGAAUGGCCUACCAAGGCGUCGACGGGUAGCCGGCCUGAGAGGGUGGACGGCCACAUUGGGACUGAGAUACGGCCCAGCCUCCUACGGGAGGCAGCAGUGGGGAAUAUUGCACAAUGGGCGCAAGCCUGAUGCAGCGACGCCGCGUGGGGGAUGACGGCCUUCGGGUUGUAAACUCCUUUCAGCCAUGACGAAGCCCUUGUGGUGACGGUAGUGGUAGAAGAAGCACCGGCUAACUACGUG